CGGACGCCGAGCAAGGCUCGGCCGAACGAUGCGCAG
RNAcentral lists this unclassified non-coding RNA (36 nucleotides) under Sorangium cellulosum So ce56. Its description in RNAcentral is "sce_Cardiovirus_CRE_33". Lineage: Bacteria; Pseudomonadati; Myxococcota; Polyangiales; Polyangiaceae. The record is from RNAcentral.